UGGGGAAUUUUGCACAAUGGGGGAAACCCUGAUGCAGCGACGCCGCGUGAUUUAGAAGGCCUUCGGGUUGUAAAAAUCUUUUCUAUGGGAAGAAAAUGACAGUACCAUAGGAAUAAGGACCGGCUAAUUACGUGCCAGCAGCCGCGGUAAUACGUAAGGUCCGAGCGUUGUCCGGAAUCAUUGGGCGUAAAGGGUACGUAGGCGGGUAAGCAAGUUAGAAGUGAAAUCCUAUAGCUCAACUAUAGUAAGCUUUUAAAACUGCUCAUCUUGAGGUAUGGAAGGGAAAGUGGAAUUCCUAGUGUAGCGGUGAAGUGCGCAGAUAUUAGAAGGAAUACCGGUGGCGAAGGCGACUUUCUGGCCAUAACCUGACGCUGAGGUACGAAAGCGUGGGUAGCAAACAGG
RNAcentral lists this ribosomal RNA (402 nucleotides) under bacterium. RNAcentral's name for it is "partial 16S ribosomal RNA". It matches the Rfam family "Bacterial small subunit ribosomal RNA", at positions 355 to 776 of the family's 1533-position model. The record is from RNAcentral.